AUUGAACGCUGGCGGCAGGCCUAACACAUGCAAGUCGAACGAGUGGCGGACGGGUGAGUAAUGUAUGGGAAACUGCCCGAGGGAGGGGGAUAACUACUGGAAACGGUAGAUAAUACCGCAUACCAUCGGAUGUGCCAAGAUGGGAUUAGCUAGGAGGUGGGGUAACGGCUCACCUAGGCGACGAUCCCUAGCAGGUCUGAGAGGAUGACCCGCCACACUGGAACUGAGACACUGUCCAGACGCCUACGGGAGGCAGCAGUGGGGAAUAUUGCACAAUGGGCGCAAGCCUGAUGCAGCCAUGCCGCGUGUAUGAAGAAGUCCUUCGGGUUGUAAAGUGCUUUCAGCGAGGAGGCGUUACUCGCAGAAGAAGCAUCGGCUAACUCCGUGCCAGCAGCCGCGGUAAUUC
This 406-nucleotide ribosomal RNA is filed under the name uncultured bacterium. RNAcentral describes it as "partial 16S ribosomal RNA". It matches the Rfam family "Bacterial small subunit ribosomal RNA", at positions 30 to 526 of the family's 1533-position model. The record is from RNAcentral.